GGGGAGGAAAAGAAAGCCACAGACUGUGGCUCACUGAAAAGAAAAUUCCUCAUAUGAUUAGGAGCAUUUUAUCCAUCGUUUCACCCCCUCUCAAAUUAGUCCAAUGUCUCCUCUGUACUUGUUAUGCACCAUCGUUUUCUGCCAAUUAGCAUGGAGCGUAGUUGUCUCAGUGCUGGAAGGGCCUGGUGUGGGGUAGGCAGGAAGGCGAUGUAACCGUGGUGGUCAGCUACCAGACAGCUCACAUCAGCCCACCCCAUUAGGGACAUCCGUGCACAGCUCUCUGCAUCAGGAUGCUCUCAUUUACCGCCUCCACAUCCAGCCAUUUAUCUCUCUUUCCUCUGCUCUCACUGGCUUCUCUCUCCCUCUCUUUUUAAUUUUCCUCUCAAAAACAGAUCCCACAUUAAGCAGCCGAGCAUGGCUGGCUGCAGCGCCUCUCCUCAAAGAGCAAAGGAAUGAUUUAAUUUCUCCUCCUCUCUGCGUCUGCGGCCUCCUCUCCCAGCUCAUACACAGAUCAUUACACACAGAGGCCUCAUUUUCAUCUCCCUGUGAGGGCACAUGCAGGGCUUUAACUAGUCAGCCACGCCAUGGCCAUUGCUGACGAUCAAUACCUGUGGUCAGAAAGGAGCACGCGGCACUUCCUAAAUAGGCCCUGCAGGUCCAGCCAUAAAACACCUAAGAGGCCGUACAUGCCACCCCAUAAAUCGCCCCCUUCUUUUUCCUUGGCUUUCAUUCUUAUGAAGGAGUAAGGGACGCCAAGCCUAUUUUGGAGCGGUUUCCCAUUGAGCUGAUAAUGAUGAGUAAAAGGUCAUGAUACCAUCUACAAAAUACUGCUGCGCUGAAGAUUUGGGGCAAAAGUUCACUCCGAAUGAGUCUGUCGGCGUGAGAAUGUGAUGGAAACGGGUUGGAAGCAGCUAAAUAAUGUGCAUUUGAUAAGAACCAUGUGUUAGAGAUACAUGUCCACUGUUUUGGUGUGGGAUGACAAUAGCCAUGUUUAGAAAAUCUGUGCAAAAUCAAACAAUCCGAUCAUGACGUGCGUAUACAUACACCAAGCUUUAUUCAGAUUAGAAUCAUUUGGACAUGCGUAAAGUUGUCUGAUUUCGCCAAAACAACCGCAGAAGAAGAAGCGUUGUAUUUACGCCUGUGCUGUCAACAAACUGACAAACGCCUCUUAUUGGCUAGAAGUGCUGGGCUCUGAUUGGUUAUUCCUUAUGGCUGUGAAACGUCAUCAUCUGUCGGGUUAGGGUUAGAAUUAGGGUUAGGAGAUUCAGAAUUGCAAUGAUGUUCUGUAAUGUUCUGUUCGAUGUACAGAGCCAACAGCCUGCGUUUGGCUUGAGCAUGUGAUGACGUUUCUAGCUUUUCUAGCCAAUCAGAGGCGAAGGAGGCGGGACUUUCCCCUACCAUCGUACAAAAAAAAAUAUUGCUUACCGGAGGAGCACACACGCUACCUGCGGUUGUGUUUAUGCCAGAAUGUCAAUAAUGAAACCUCCUGUCCUGGUCUCAAUAAAGAAGCCAAUAGCUAAAGAGUGAAAAUCACUAUCGGAUUAAGUGUUGGACGCGUUUCGGAAUAACGAUCGGCAUAAUCCACCCCUCUUGAUCAGAAUACAAUUUCUUUCAGAUUGAGCCUAACUGGAUCAGAAUUUUCCGAUCGACAUGUUUACAUGACGCAUUUUUAUUCCGAUCAGGCAUUUAUUCCGAUUAUUUGUUCCCAUGUAAACGCAGCUACUGACAACACACCUGUUUGUCCUCAACAACAAAAACAGCUGCGUGUCAAAUGUAUGCCACACACAUUUGAAGGACAUAGUUUGUAAUCUUCUAAAACACCAGGGCCUGUGGAGGUGGUUUAAUUUAAACCCUCAACUGAGAAGCACUAAUGAGAUUUUACUCAGUUGAAACCUAAAUGAAACUGCGAUAAGCUCAGAGGAAUAGUCAGAACAAGUUUUUCUGUACGGUCCCUGUUUAGUUUGUGGAUUGCGAGACUGGAAUCAGUGAUAUAUGGACCAGAUGAGCAUUAGCCUGGGGGUUGGUAGACAGAGACAGAAAAAUGGAUGUGUUUCUCAUCUUGCCUUCGCCUCCGAGGCUCUCAGCUGGCCUGAUCCCUACAUUAAACAAACAGAUAGCCAACAACUUUAAUUACCUUUGCAUCCAGUCGCUCUCCCCAUCCACCACUCCCCACUACGCUUGUGCAAAUGAAAGAAAGAGAGAGAUGGAAGGAAAAGAAGCAUAAUUACUUAUUUUACUGGAGUGCGGCAGAAUGCCUUUUGCCAAAUGACUCUAAUUCCAAAUGGUUAACAAGAUUUUUCUUUUUAAUAGAGCUGAAUCCAUGUGACAGCAAAUUGCUUUCCUAUUUGGGGCCUUAAUGGCUUUUCAUACUUUGCACUUCCAAUAAGCAGUAAACUCGGAAAUUAAUAUUGCACACUGUGUUAUGAUGCAAAUGGGAGCGAGAUAGGAGAGCACAAACCUCUGAUUAGAUUUGUAAUUGCUCUGGUGGGAUGAUUUUUUCUGUUUGUUGGAGCUUAUUUAUUUAUUUGUAUAAUUUCUGUCCACACGCUUCACUCCGGCAUCAUUAUCAGUGGCACAUCUGCAUCCCCGUAUGUUAUAUUUCACUUUUGAAUGACUUUUAAUCAGUUGUUAUAGCAGAUAAACAUAUUCAGAAACUCUAACAGAGGGUGAUAUCUGUAGCUCUACCAUCCUGCUACAAAGCUUUGCUCUUUUGCUUUGAAUUAAGUGAAUCGCUAAGAAAAAAAAAUCCUCUUUUCAAGUACAUCCUCAAUUAGAUUUUGUCUUCCAUUUGCGACCAAUAAUAAGACUGAAUGGCCAAUUUUUGCUCAUCUCUGGUUUGAGAGUAGAUUUGUAUGAGUCUGCUGUUGACUGGCACAGUUGUGUCCUAUCUUACUUCCAGUCCAAGCAGGCACAAUCUAAAAAGAUAUAUUUGCGUAGGGUGUUUCUUAAUUAACUUUUGAUCCAAGUCAUUUCAUUUCCAAUUCCAUCUUACACAUUUUCAAAUAUUAAUCUUAGUCUAUGCAUAAGGUAUUGUAUUCUUAAUAAGGGGGGGAUCACUGAAUGGGACACAGCUCACACAGCACAUGCAGGUACAGAGGCGCUCAGUGAACAGACACAGAUCAGAAAGUGUGCACUAUAAUUUAGCUGUAGCAGACAUAACACCCCUCCCAACAGCACUUUGACUGGUUGAGCUUUUCUCGCAUGUCACCCAAUUGUACCAUCAAAUUGCGUGGUUCAUUUUAUUUUGCUUGUGCAUGUUAAGUUCUUGUAUGUUUCUCUGGCUUGUUUCCAAAAGCCUCCUUAGAAUACCUGCCAACACUCCCGUUUUUCCCGUGACUCUUCCGUAUUUCAGACCUAUCUCCCGCCCACCUCCCGUAUUGUCAUUUAUCCCGGGAAUCUCUCAUUGUUUGCACGGUCCACAUUCAUUCAUGAAUCGGCUCACUAUACUUGUCCAAAGUUGCCAGGUUUCCAGGCAACCAAAGUUUCUGCUGAGCCUCAAAGACACUGGAUUGAUACUUUUACUUCACAAUUUGGGAUGAUUCAGGUCGGUUUAAACUGUAAACUACAUUUAAGCGGUGUUUGUUGCAAAAUAAACACUUCAAUAAAAGGGAAACAAACGUGAGAUAUAAUAUUUACGUUGAUAGUCUUGCACCGUCUCGGAGUGAUGCGUUCAGGGCAGCCUCAGAUAAAAAAUUGCUGCAUUGCGCGCACAGAUGUUCAGAGAGCCUCAUACGGGAGAGCAUGUAAAACAUAUGAGGACUUUAACUUCAAUAUUAGUCGACUAAAUAACUUCAAGACAUAUCUUACUUACUUACUUAUACUGAUUUGGAUGAGUAAUUCAAUUACAAAUAUUUUCAUAAUUAGCUCAUUUCCACCAUACAAGGUAAACCCAAACUGCUUGGCGCGCGCCACAAAAAUCUCCCAGAUUUCAUAACCCAAAUGUUGGCAGGUAUGCUCCUUAAAUUUCAGAUCUUUUAGGUAUUCUAUGUUGGUCCCUGGCUGUCAUUUGGAAAAUACGGGUUCAAAAUGUCCCAGGGUUUGGGCUGAAAGGCUGAGCUUUGGCUGCUCAAGACACUCAACGAGGUCUGACCUGCGGACAGAUAUAGUAAAUAAAUUCAGCCAGAUUGGACGGCAAUUGCAGCCAGUAAUUGAGGUUAAGUGUCCUUUGGUGAGCAGGGCCUGAGCAACGGUUCAGCAAGAUAGUGGUCACAUGACCGUACACACAUUUAGUCUGAUUCUUUGGCUUUAUCACCAUGGCAACCCUUCAUUUCUUCAUCGCGCGCACCCAUUUCACCUGUCAUUCUGGUAAUUGGCUCUGAAAUUUUCUGCAUAUCGCCAUGAUGAUCAUAAUAAGACAAUAUUUAUGAAGCGAGCAGUGACAGGCAAGUGUGGGGAAAUGGGGGAAAAAAGACACUUUCAUUAGGCUGGAAUAUUAAUGCGGCAACAGGGCUUUUGAGGGACUAAUAAAGCUUGUUCUCCUUGUUUUCACAGGUUACCACUCAUUAUGUGUAUGAGCCACACUAUAGACUGAGUGAGUGAGUUUCGAUUUGGUUUUAAUUGGGUCACCCUUUCCUCUCCUCUCUCCCCUCAUGCAGUCUUCCUGUUGAACUUAGUUUAAUUAGACCUACAAGAUUGUGACACUACCAGAAACAUAUUAUUUCUGCUAUGCCUUCAUUUCCAUUGAUGUUCUGUUUUUAGAAGUAUUGAUAAGACAAGCGAUGCAAUGACAUUUGCUAUUCUGCUGUAGUCAUUAAUGGCCCUCGACUUGGCGGUAGACUGCAAAGAAGCACCGAGAGAAA
This 4799-nucleotide long non-coding RNA is filed under the name Xyrichtys novacula (pearly razorfish). The record is from RNAcentral. Lineage: Eukaryota; Metazoa; Chordata; Actinopteri; Labriformes; Labridae.